This is a non-coding RNA of Phascolarctos cinereus (koala), 282 nucleotides long. Lineage: Eukaryota; Metazoa; Chordata; Mammalia; Diprotodontia; Phascolarctidae. The record is from RefSeq and is a predicted model, not a curated record.
CUAAGACGAGCAGCAAUGAUUGUCACAUCAAAAGAGCUUGGCUCACCUAAGACAAAGGAAACACAAUCAUCCUUCAGGGAAUGGGUAAUUCCCAGUUACAAUUGGUUGGAUCUUCUUGGAGCCCUGCCCAUCAAAAUGAGUUUCCUGGCAACAGAAUUGAGACCUUCCCUUCCAGGCUGAUGUAACACCCGGAAGUCUUGGUAAUAACUCCCCAGUUGCUAACCAUUGAUACCCACUCUUGUUAAUUGCACAAAAAUUAAUAAAUAACUAUAUUUGGCAAUG